This 987-nucleotide ribosomal RNA is filed under the name Auxicerus platyceps. RNAcentral describes it as "partial 16S ribosomal RNA". The record is from RNAcentral. Lineage: Eukaryota; Metazoa; Arthropoda; Insecta; Coleoptera; Lucanidae.
UAAAAAAAAUUUUUAAAUGAAAAUUUCUCGAAUUUAGAAGAGCUAAGAAUUUAUAUAUUUUAAUGUAAAAUAAUUAUUUAAAAUAUUUUCUUUGUAAUUAUAUGUUAGUCGUUUCUUAUGAUAUCUAGUUUUCUUAGAAAUAAAUUUAAUUUAGUCUAAUUUUAGAAUUAAUUUUUUAAAAAAUUAAUUCUUUUUUUGGGGAAAAAUUUAAGGGGAUAAGCUUUUAAUUUUAUACUUAUAAGAUAAAAAGAAAAAUUUUAUUUAUAGGAUUAGAGGUGUUCAUUAAUAAAAGUGUGUUAUAACAAGAAAAAUUUUUAUUUGAUUUUUUUUUCUUUAUGUUUUCUAUAAGAAUAUAUGAUGAAAUUAUUGUUUUUUAGAAUUUAUGAUAAAAUUAGUAUAAAUUAAUGUAAAUUAAGUUUAAAAUUGAGUUUAAAUUAAGGAAUUCGGCAAAUUAAUUUCUUGCCUGUUUAAUAAAAACAUGUCCUUUUGUUUUAAUUUAAGGUCUGACCUGCCCAAUGAAUAUUUUAAUGGCCGCGGUAUUUUGACCGUGCAAAGGUAGCAUAAUCAUUAGUUUUUUAAUUGAAAGCUGGAAUGAAUGGUUGGACAAGGAAAUUACUGUCUCAAUUUAAUUUAAUUAGAAUUUUAUUUUUAAGUUAAAAAGCUUAAAUAGAUUUAAGGGACGAGAAGACCCUAUAGAAUUUUACAUUUAAAUUAAAUUAAGAUUUUUUGAUUUUUUUGUUUUAUUUUAAUUUUAUUGUUUUGUUGGGGUGACAGGAAAAUUUAGAAAACUUUUCUUAAUUUUUAUCAUAAAUUUAUGAUUAUAUGAUCCGUAUUUAAUGAUUAUAAGAUUAAAUUACCUUAGGGAUAACAGCGUUAUUAAUUUGGAGAGUUCUAAUCGAUAAAUUAGUUUGCGACCUCGAUGUUGGAUUAAAAUUAACUUUUGGUGUAGCAGUUAAAAAGUUAAGUCUGUUCGACUUUUAAAAUUUU